AAAGGGUGCGUAGGCGGCUUGUUAAGUCAGAGGUGAAAGGCGGUAGCUUAACUAUCGGAGUGCCUUUGAUACUGAUGAGCUUGAAUGCAGCUGAGGUAGGCGGAAUGUGACAAGUAGCGGUGAAAUGCAUAGAUAUGUCACAGAACACCGAUUGCGAAGGCAGCUUACUAAAGUGUGAUUGACGCUGAGGCACGAAAGCGUGGGGAUCAAACAGGAUUAGAUACCCGGGU
Molecule: ribosomal RNA, 230 nt
Filed under: uncultured bacterium
Lineage: Bacteria
Description: partial 16S ribosomal RNA
Rfam family: Bacterial small subunit ribosomal RNA
Source: RNAcentral